CGUAGGUGGUAGUGCAAGUCUGAGGUGGAAUCUUAGGGCUUAACCCUAAAAUUGCCUUGGAAACUGCAUUACUUGAGUCAGUGAGGGGAGGGUAGAAUUCCUGGUGUAGCGGUGAAAUGCGUAGAUAUCAGGAGGAAGGCCGGUGGCGAAGGCGGCCCUCUGGCGCUGAACUGACACUGAGGCGCGAAAGCGUGGGGAGCAAACAGGAUUAGAUACCCUGGUAGUCCACGCCCUAAACGGUGGGUACUAGGUGUAGGGCUCGUAAGGGUUCUGUGCCGAAGCGAAAGCAUUAAGUACCCCGCCUGGGGAGUACGGCCGCAAGGUUGAA
This 328-nucleotide ribosomal RNA is filed under the name uncultured bacterium. RNAcentral's name for it is "bacterial SSU rRNA". It matches the Rfam family "Bacterial small subunit ribosomal RNA", at positions 570 to 898 of the family's 1533-position model. The record is from RNAcentral.